This 468-nucleotide ribosomal RNA is filed under the name uncultured bacterium. RNAcentral's name for it is "partial 16S ribosomal RNA". It matches the Rfam family "Bacterial small subunit ribosomal RNA", at positions 28 to 507 of the family's 1533-position model. The record is from RNAcentral.
GACGAACGCUGGCGGCGUGCUUAACACAUGCAAGUCGAACGGAAAGGCCCUGCUUUUGUGGGGUGCUCGAGUGGCGAAAGGGUGAGUAACACGUGAGUAGCCUGCCCUUGACUUUGGGAUAACUUCAGGAAACUGGGGCGAAUAUCGGAUAGGAGCACCUUCUGCAUGGUGGUGGUGGGAAAGUGUCGGCGGUUGGGGAUGGACUGGCGGCUUAUCAGCUUGUUGGUGGGGUAGUGGCUUACCAAGGCUUUGACGGGUAGCCGGCUUGAGAGGGUGACAGGGCCCAUUGGGACUGAGGUAGGGCCCAGACGGCUACGGGAGGCAGCGGGGGGAAACAUUGCGCACUGGGCGGAAGCGUGAUACAGCGACUUCGCGUGCGGGAUGACGGCCUUCGGGGUGUAAACCGCUUUGGCCUGUGACGAAGAGUGAGUGACGGUAAUGGGUCAAGAAGCAACGGCUAACUACGUG